CAGAACGUCGUGAGACAGUUCGGUCCCUAUCCAUCGUGGGCGUAGGAAUCAUGAGAGGAGCUGUUCCUAGUACGAGAGGACCGGAAUGGACGUACCACUGGUGCAACUGUUGUCGUGCCAACGGCAUAGCAGGGAAGCGAAGUACGGACGGGAUAAACGCUGAAGGCAUCUAAGCGUGAAGCCCCCCUCAAGAAGAAGAUUCCCAUUCCGAGAGGAAGUAAGACCCCUCAGAGACGAUGAGGAGAUAGGUCAACGCUGGAAGCGCAGCAAUGAGUGAAGGUUGUUGAUACUAAUCGGUCGAGGGCUUGAUCCA
This 313-nucleotide ribosomal RNA is filed under the name Candidatus Avichristensenella intestinipullorum. RNAcentral describes it as "partial 23S ribosomal RNA". It matches the Rfam family "Bacterial large subunit ribosomal RNA", at positions 2612 to 2925 of the family's 2925-position model. The record is from RNAcentral. Lineage: Bacteria; Bacillati; Bacillota; Clostridia.